GACGAACGCUGGCGGCGUGCUUAACACAUGCCAGUCGAACGGAAAGGCCCUGCUUUUGUUGGGUGCUCGAGUGGCUAACGGUUGAGUAACACGUGAGUAACCUGCCCUUGACUUUGGGAUAACUUCAGGAAACUGGGGCUAAUACCGGAUAGUAGCUCCUGCUGCAUGGUGGGGGUUGGAAAGUUUCGGCGGUUGGGGAUGGACUCGCGGCUUAUCAGCUUGUUGGUGGGGUAGUGGCUUACCAAGGCUUUGACGGGUAGCCGGCCUGAGAGGGUGACCGGCCACAGUGGGACUGAGAUACGGCCCAGACUCCUACGGGAGGCAGCAGUGGGGAAUAUUGCAAAAUGGGCGGAAGCCUGAUGCAGCAACGCCGCGUGCGGGAUGACGGCCGUCGGGUUGUAAACCGCUUUCGCCUGUGACGAAGCGUGAGUGACGGUAAUGGGUAAAGAAGCACCGGCUAACUACGUG
Molecule: ribosomal RNA, 468 nt
Filed under: uncultured bacterium
Lineage: Bacteria
Description: partial 16S ribosomal RNA
Rfam family: Bacterial small subunit ribosomal RNA
Source: RNAcentral